RNAcentral lists this ribosomal RNA (232 nucleotides) under uncultured bacterium. RNAcentral describes it as "partial small subunit ribosomal RNA". It matches the Rfam family "Bacterial small subunit ribosomal RNA", at positions 26 to 288 of the family's 1533-position model. The record is from RNAcentral.
AGAGCGAACGCUGGCGGCAGGCCUAACACAUGCAAGUCGAGCGCCCCGCAAGGGGAGCGGCAGACGGGAGAGUAACACGUGGGAACGUACCCUUCAGUUCGGAACAACCCAGGGAAACUUGGGCUAAUACCGAAUACGUCCGUAAGGAGAAAGAUUUAUCGCUGAAGGAUCGGCCCGCGUCUGAUUAGCUUGUUGGUGAGGUAACGGCUCACCAAGGCGACGACGGGUAGCC